Populus trichocarpa (black cottonwood) is the source of this 1299-nucleotide long non-coding RNA. RefSeq lists it as uncharacterized. Lineage: Eukaryota; Viridiplantae; Streptophyta; Magnoliopsida; Malpighiales; Salicaceae. The transcript has 2 exons. The record is from RefSeq and is a predicted model, not a curated record.
UUAAACAAAUUGGACAACGUACGGCCCCAGCAACUUUAUCGCUGUUAAUUUCAGUUGCUUUGAAUCCAUUUUUUUUCCUCUGCAGCAUUAGUUAAAACACUGUUCCGAAAAAAUCACUCCAUAGCUCAGAGAACCACCAUCCAUCAUUGGUAAAGAAAACAAAUAGUUGAGGGAAUCAAGCUUCACAGCUGGCUCAUCUUUUGUCAGUGGCCACUGGAGAUUGUCACCAACUUUUACCAUGUUAGCAACGAAACACCCUUGUCCAAGAUUCGAGCUAUCGUGAAUUUGCCCUUGGCAAGCUCUAGAGCUUCUCCUUCAUUCAUCAGAUGAACUGUGCAUCCUGGAAUCUGCAACCGAAACUCUUUGUUGAUAGUUUUGGUUUCUGGGUUCUUCUGUUUUGUUAAGAAAGUGAUUUCAGGGCCACCAUGCCGGAAAAUGCCUCCUCUAAUUCUACUCUUGCCUUCUGUCCGAAGAGAAAUUAUUUUGCUAUGAAUGAAAAGGAAGAAGAAAGACAAGAGGCAGAUGAAAUGACACAACGUUAUACCCCAGGUAGAGUUAUUUGUUUCACCUCCUAUGUUGAAAGGCUGUGCUACUUUUGGUGGUGCGGAAUGAGAGCUUGAAAUGGAGUUUUCAUGCAACAGGAACCAGAAGAAUUAAGAUAACCCAACGGGAUGUAAGUUUUCUGUCCAAAACUUAUUUAUUCUUAGGGAGAUGAAAUCCCAAAGAUAAUCUACACUUUUUGUAGCAUUAGAGCAUAGAUCGUUCACAUUUCGGAACAUUAAUACGAUUAAUAGUGGCAAGAAAACAGAGCAUUUUGUCAUAAUAUUCAAGCUUGACAACAAUUUGUGGCUCUGGCGACCAGUUCUUUGAAGCAAUUGAGCAAAAUGGUCAAUUAAGUUCUACAAGAUAAAUACACUCCGCAGGUUAAUAACUCCUAUUUCUAUUCCUUGCUGCAUUCUUUGCUGCAUUCUUAAGCACUCCUGUGGAAACAGAUGUUGCUGGAUUGAUGGCUUUCCGUAUCUUGAAUAUAUUCCAAGCAGCGCACACACAAUGCCCUGCUGUUGCAAACGCAUCCUCAGCUGCCUCCCCUGCGCUAUCUCCAAACCUGUUGCUCAAAAUAGCGAUGAAGAUAGCCAAGGAAAAAUGAACAUGGUAAAGUUUACUCAUUACUGAAUGGAGAAAUAUAAUGCCAAAAGGAGGGAAAAUGAACUUAGUAAAGAAGUGAACUUUUUUCGAGUAAUUAUAUUUAUGAUGUCAAUUGAGAAUUAACUGAAAAUUUAUCUUUAAACUAUGCUUCUU